Molecule: ribosomal RNA, 220 nt
Filed under: uncultured soil bacterium
Lineage: Bacteria
Description: partial 16S ribosomal RNA
Rfam family: Bacterial small subunit ribosomal RNA
Source: RNAcentral
AGAUUGAACGCUAGCGGGAUGCUUUACACAUGCAAGUCGAACGGCAGCGCGGACUUCGGUCUGGCGGCGAGUGGCGAACGGGUGAGUAAUAUAUCGGAACGUGCCCAGUAGCGGGGGAUAACUACGCGAAAGCGUGGCUAAUACCGCAUACGCCCUACGGGGGAAAGGGGGGGAUCGGACAACGACCUCACACUAGUGGACGCCGGACGAUAUACGAGUA